RNAcentral lists this ribosomal RNA (497 nucleotides) under uncultured bacterium. Its description in RNAcentral is "partial 16S ribosomal RNA". It matches the Rfam family "Bacterial small subunit ribosomal RNA", at positions 28 to 507 of the family's 1533-position model. The record is from RNAcentral.
GAUGAACGCUGGCGGCGUGCCUAAUACAUGCAAGUCGAGCGAACAGACGAGGAGCUUGCUCCUCUGACGUUAGCGGCGGACGGGUGAGUAACACGUGGAUAACCUACCUAUAAGACUGGGAUAACUUCGGGAAACCGGAGCUAAUACCGGAUAAUAUAUUGAACCGCAUGGUUCAAUAGUGAAAGACGGUUUUGCUGUCACUUAUAGAUGGUUCCGCGCCGCAUUAGCUAGUUGGUAAGGUAACGGCUUACCAAGGCAACGAUGCGUAGCCGACCUGAGGGGGAGAACGGCCACACUGGAACUGAGACACGGUCCAGACUCCUACGGGAGGCAGCAGUAGGGAAUCUUCCGCGAUGGGCGAAAGCCUGACGGAGCAACGCCGCGGGAGUGAUGAAGGUCUUCGGAUCGUAGAACUCUGUUAUUAGGGAAGAAGAAAUGUGUAAGUAACUAUGCACGUCUUGACGGUACCUAAACAGAAAGCCACGGCUAACUACGUG